UACGAAGGGGGCUAGCGUUGCUCGGAAUCACUGGGCGUAAAGGGUGCGUAGGCGGGUUUUUAAGUCAGGGGUGAAAUCCUGGAGCUCAACUCCAGAACUGCCUUUGAUACUGAAGAUCUUGAGUCCGGGAGAGGUGAGUGGAACUGCGAGUGUAGAGGUGAAAUUCGUAGAUAUUCGCAAGAACACCAGUGGCGAAGGCGGGUCUCUGGGCCGAUACUGACGCUGAGGAGCGAAAGCGUGGGGAGCAAACAGG
This 253-nucleotide ribosomal RNA is filed under the name uncultured bacterium. RNAcentral describes it as "partial 16S ribosomal RNA". It matches the Rfam family "Bacterial small subunit ribosomal RNA", at positions 524 to 776 of the family's 1533-position model. The record is from RNAcentral.